UGUCAUGACAUACGGGACUGUCCUCUGUGCGGACAGGACUCAGACCCGAGCCAUUGGCUGUGGCCACGAGGUGCGCAGGCCGCUCCGUGUGGGGGCCCCUUCUGACUUGCCCAGCAGGGACCGGGCGUCCUUUACACAGCAGAGUGAGGCAGGGCUCAGCCCUUGCAGGCAUUGUCCUUGCCACUGACCCCUGGGUCCUCAUGGCAGGCCCAGAGAGGCGGAUGACUUGGCCAGGGUCACACAGCCAGCAGCAGAGCAGCUGGGAGCUGAAGGGACAGGCCUCAGGCCUGGAGCACUCUCAGAGACCCUGCUGCCUCUGUGGAGGCGGGGGCUGCCUCCUGAGGUCACAGGACCCUCCCACCGGCCUGAGCUGGUGGUGUCUCAUGCCCCUCCCG
RNAcentral lists this long non-coding RNA (395 nucleotides) under Homo sapiens (human). RNAcentral's name for it is "HSALNT0235281". Lineage: Eukaryota; Metazoa; Chordata; Mammalia; Primates; Hominidae. The record is from RNAcentral.